UAGCUCAGUGGUAGAGUGUGUACCUAGCAUGCACAAGGUCCUGGGUUCAAUCCCCAG
This 57-nucleotide transfer RNA is filed under the name Camelus bactrianus (Bactrian camel). It matches the Rfam family "tRNA", at positions 8 to 63 of the family's 71-position model. Rfam says of the family: Transfer RNA (tRNA) molecules are approximately 80 nucleotides in length. Lineage: Eukaryota; Metazoa; Chordata; Mammalia; Artiodactyla; Camelidae. RNAcentral also lists the same sequence under 3 other names. The record is from Rfam by way of RNAcentral.